ACUCCUACGGGAGGCAGCAGUGGGGAAUCUUGGACAAUGGGCGCAAGCCUGAUCCAGCCAUGCCGCGUGAGUGAUGAAGGCCCUAGGGUUGUAAAACUCUUUCGUGGGGGACGAUAAUGACGGUACCCCAAGAAGAAGCACCGGCUAACUACGUGCCAGCAGCCGCGGUAAUACGUAGGGUGCGAGCGUUAAUCGGAAUUACUGGGCGUAAAGCGUGCGCAGGCGGUUGUGUAAGACAGGCGUGAAAUCCCCGGGCUCAACCUGGGAACUGCGCUUGUGACUGCACAGCUAGAGUACGGCAGAGGGGGGUGGAAUUCCACGUGUAGCAGUGAAAUGCGUAGAGAUGUGGAGGAACACCGAUGGCGAAGGCAGCCCCCUGGGCCGAUACUGACGCUCAUGCACGAAAGCGUGGGUAGCAAACAGGAUUAGAUACCCUGGUAGUC
This 443-nucleotide ribosomal RNA is filed under the name uncultured bacterium. RNAcentral describes it as "bacterial SSU rRNA". It matches the Rfam family "Bacterial small subunit ribosomal RNA", at positions 335 to 795 of the family's 1533-position model. The record is from RNAcentral.